RNAcentral lists this ribosomal RNA (450 nucleotides) under uncultured bacterium. RNAcentral describes it as "bacterial SSU rRNA". It matches the Rfam family "Bacterial small subunit ribosomal RNA", at positions 354 to 796 of the family's 1533-position model. The record is from RNAcentral.
GUGGGGAAUUUUGGACAAUGGGCGAAAGCCUGAUCCAGCAAUGCCGCGUGCAGGACGAAGGCCUUCGGGUUGUAAACUGCUUUUGUACGGAACGAAACAGCUCUUUCUAAUACAGAGAGCAAAUGACGGUACCGUAAGAAUAAGCACCGGCUAACUACGUGCCAGCAGCCGCGGUAAUACGUAGGGUGCAAGCGUUAAUCGGAAUUACUGGGCGUAAAGCGUGCGCAGGCGGUCUUUUAAGACAGAUGUGAAAUCCCCGGGCUUAACCUGGGAACCGCAUUUGUGACUGAAAGGCUAGAGUACGGCAGAGGGGGAUGGAAUUCCGCGUGUAGCAGUGAAAUGCGUAGAUAUGCGGAGGAACACCGAUGGCGAAGGCAAUCCCCUGGGCCUGUACUGACGCUCAUGCACGAAAGCGUGGGGAGCAAACAGGAUUAGAUACCCGAGUAGUCC